GACGAACGCUGGCGGCGUGCCUAACACAUGCAAGUCGAGCGAAGUAUAUUUAAGGGAAAUUUUCGGAUGGAACUUAAAUAUAUCUUAGCGGCGGACGGGUGAGUAACGCGUGAGCAACCUGCCUUUCACAAAGGGAUAGCCUCGGGAAACUGGGAUUAAUACCAUAUAAAACUUGUCUUUCGCAUGAAAGAAAAGUCAAAGCGAAUAAGCGGUGAAAGAUGGGCUCGCGUCCUAUUAGCUAGUUGGUGAGGCAACGGCUCACCAAGGCGACGAUAGGUAGCCGGCCUGAGAGGGUGAACGGCCACACUGGAACUGAGACACGGUCCAGACUCCUACGGGAGGCAGCAGUGGGGGAUAUUGCACAAUGGAGGAAACUCUGAUGCAGCGACGCCGCGUGAGUGAAGAAGGCCUUCGGGUCGUAAGACUCUGUCCUAGGGAAGAGUAAUGACGGUACCCUAGGAGGAAGCCCGGCUAACUACGUGCCAGCAGCCGCGGUAAACCCUCGUCUCUACC
This 513-nucleotide ribosomal RNA is filed under the name uncultured bacterium. RNAcentral describes it as "bacterial SSU rRNA". It matches the Rfam family "Bacterial small subunit ribosomal RNA", at positions 28 to 539 of the family's 1533-position model. The record is from RNAcentral.